GAUGAACGCUGGCGGCGUGCUUAACACAUGCAAGUCGAGCGAAAAGACGAGGAGUUUGUUCCUUUGUCGUUAGCGGAGGACGGGUGAGUAACACGUGGAUAACCCCCUUAUAUGACGGGGAAAAUUACGGAAAACGGGAGAAAAUACCGGAGAAUAUAUUGAACCGCAUGGUGCAUUAGUAAAUGACGGUUUUGCGGUCUGGACUAGAGGCUACCGAGCUGGAUGAGCUGGUUGGUAAGGUAACGGCCUAUCAAGGCGACGAUGCGUAGCCGAACUGAGAGGGUGAUCGGCCACACUGGAACUGAGACACGGUCCAGACUCCUACGGGAGGCAGCAGUAGGGAAUGGUCCGCAGUAGGCGAGAGCCUGGCGGAGCGAGGCCGCGUGAGUGAUGAAGGUGUUCGGUUCGUAAAGCUCUGUUAUUGGGGAAGAACAGCUGUGUAAGUAACUGUGGCCGUCUUGACGGUACCUAAUCAAAAAGCACCGGCUAACUACGUG
RNAcentral lists this ribosomal RNA (497 nucleotides) under uncultured bacterium. RNAcentral describes it as "partial 16S ribosomal RNA". It matches the Rfam family "Bacterial small subunit ribosomal RNA", at positions 28 to 507 of the family's 1533-position model. The record is from RNAcentral.